GGCAGUGUGAAGGGGGCAGGGCAAGGAAGGGCGGAGCAUUUCCGUUUAAGGGCGAAAUGCAAAUUAGCGCAACUUCUCACGUCGCCCAGUGAGUGUUGUAUUCAGUGAAACAUGAGUCUUUCCGGAUGUUCUGUGAUCCAGAUUAUUAUAUUCAGCUCUGUCCACUGAUUCUUCACCACCUGCUCCAGGUAAAAGGACACGGUGGAUGCUGUCAUCUAAUCAUACAACUUUACAGUAUGGAGGCAGGC
Molecule: non-coding RNA, 248 nt
Organism: Chiloscyllium plagiosum (whitespotted bambooshark)
Lineage: Eukaryota; Metazoa; Chordata; Chondrichthyes; Orectolobiformes; Hemiscylliidae
Source: RefSeq, a predicted model, not a curated record